This 253-nucleotide ribosomal RNA is filed under the name uncultured bacterium. RNAcentral's name for it is "partial 16S ribosomal RNA". It matches the Rfam family "Bacterial small subunit ribosomal RNA", at positions 524 to 776 of the family's 1533-position model. The record is from RNAcentral.
UACGGGGGGGGCAAGCGUUGUUCGGAAUUACUGGGCGUAAAGGGCUCGUAGGCGGCCAACCAAGUCAGACGUGAAAUCCCUCGGCUUAACCGGGGAACUGCGUCUGAUACUGGAUGGCUAGAGGUUGGGAGAGGGAUGCGGAAUUCCAGGUGUAGCGGUGAAAUGCGUAGAUAUCUGGAGGAACACCGGUGGCGAAGGCGGCAUCCUGGACCAAUUCUGACGCUGAGGAGCGAAUGCCAGGGGAGCAAACGGG